AAAGAUAUUCUAAAUCUUUAUUCGAAAACUAACAUUAAAUUAUAAAGAGCGAAGCAGAUAUAUAAUAAAAAAUAUCAGAGAUUUAAACAUUACAAAAAUAUUCAAAGCUCACUUAGAUAUUCGAUCAAACAAUUAGACCGCUAGAAUCUUUAUAGACAAUUCUACCUGUGUUUUGAUGCAUAUACAACCUGUCUUUGUCAUUGGCCAGAAUCUGAAACUGCAUAAUUCAAAAAUAACGAAAGUGUAAUUAGUAAUGGAUCGUACCUGUAAAUACAGUUGAAAUUGUACUAUAUAUGUGUGUAUUUUACCUACAUUUACGACAAAACUGUUUAGUAUUCAGCCUCAAGUAUUCCUAGUGAAAAAAAAAUCAUAUCCCUAGUGAUUAAAAAGAAAAACAAAUUAAGCUUUCAGCAAUCUCUAACCAUUGAAAUAGUGGACAUAAUUAAUGUAGUAAAUCGUGUACGAUUAAAAUAUAUAGUUAGAUAACAUAAACAUAACUCUAUUAAGAUUCUCUUCAACUAAAUCGUCAACCCGGUCUCACAUAAAUAAGAUUAUGUAGAUCAUCACAUUUUUUGAAUGCGAAAAAAAUGUUAAAAAUCUCUCUUGGAAUUUUAAUCAAACACUUGCACGUGAGAAUUUGAAACAAUGAGAUAUGUAAGAAUGAAUAAGGCUAACCCAUCCACUUGAGGUGUAUCAUAAUACAUGAACUCAAAAGUCACCAUUAUCAACCUGAAAUGAAAUCACAACAUAAAAAUAAACACAACUCUAUUACAAUUAAAAUAUAUAGUUAGACAACAUAAUCACAACUCUAUCAAGAUUCUAUUCAACUAAAUCGUCAACCCAAGUCUCACGAUUGUUUAGAUCAUCACUGUUUUCGAAUGCGAAGAAAAUGAUAAUAACCUCUCUUAGAACUUUAAUCAAACACUUACACGCCAGAAUUUGAAACAAUGAGAUAUAUAAGAAUGAAUGAGGCUUACCCAUCCAGUUGAGGUGUAUCAUAAUACUUGAACUUAAAAUCAUAAAUUAUCAACCUGAAAUGAAAUCACAAAGAACACGAUAAUCAAAUAGUGAAUAGAUUUAUUCAAAAAAAAGGUAAAACAUAUAUUUGAAAAUCUGGACAUUUUUAAAAGAGAUUUAAAUCAAAAUCACUUUGACCCCCUAAAAACAGGAUCGCUAAUUGGUUACAGCACUGAAAUCAGAAACCAAAACUUACAAUCUCAUUACAACUUAAACUACAUUAUCAGCUAAACCUCGAUAAGAAGAAUAACUGAUAACCAAUAAAUAAAUCUAUUAUACAACUAAACUGAAAUAGAGUAGUUCUAACUGGAGCUAUUCUUGCAAACAUCUCCAUGGCAAUCUCGCCUAGCAUUACUCCUACGCGCAGCUUGACAAAUGAAUCAUCUAAAUCCCUAGCUGAAAAGGUUAAAAGGAAUAGCAAGGGUGAGCAAUAAUGCUCAGCAAGCAUAUAAAAGAAAAUUUGUAAUAAAUAAAAGGAGAAAGAAAUAUAUCAAAUUUUGUAUGUAACUUGCCAGGUAUUUUCAACAAUGGAGAACAACAGUUGUAAUUCUAUAAAAGUAUGGCAAUUACAAGAAAUAAAAUCAUUUAAAACUAUUCUGUGAAAAAUCAUUCGCCUACGGUGCGUGGUGCUGACACGGUGAUCAGCCGAGCAUCAAGCACCGGGACAGGGCGCUACCUAUCCCAGGACUAAGGGGCCCAAGGCACACAUUGGCCUUAAAUAAUGUAACAUGUAACUCACGACCGGCACCACGGUCCAGCAAAUGAAUUCCGAUUGGUUAACAGUUUAUAAAUAGUACUUCUAUAUUAGAAGUCUUUUAACAUCAUUUUCAUGUUACUAAACUCAAAAGGUAUCCAACCUUUUUAAAUCCAAAACCUGCAGAGUAAUCCUCUGUAUACCACAAUUUACUGUUAACCAAGUUUGAAAUCAUAUAUAAUUGGCUAUGCUCAACAUUCUUAAAAGAUAUAAUAUCAAGAGAAUAUUGAACAAAAUAACCAAUUUCCACUAGGACAAAGUAAACCAUGAAAUACAUUUACCAAUAAAGAAUUCCAAAAAGUCUCAAAAUCAAUCUUGUAUGAAUAGAAGUAACUCGU
RNAcentral lists this long non-coding RNA (2109 nucleotides) under Daucus carota (carrot). Its description in RNAcentral is "long non-coding RNA (DCAR_LNC004168)". The record is from RNAcentral. Lineage: Eukaryota; Viridiplantae; Streptophyta; Magnoliopsida; Apiales; Apiaceae.